GAGGCGUCAAAUCCUAACAACCACCUGAGCCCAGGCCGAGCCCUGAUGUUCAUUUUGUAUCGAAGCCUGAGGUAGGACCUUUAGUUAGUGCACCCCCAUCUACGAGCCAUGCCGUGCCAUCAUCACUUAGAUUGGGGGAGGACGAGAUGGGAUUGCUAGCUGAGAGGGUAGCAGGCAUUCUUUUCUAGUAGCAGUAGUUCCAGGAGUAGGUCUUUCAGCAGCUUCAACAGUUUCAGCAGCAGAUCCUUUAGCAGAUACAGCAGCAGCAGUAUCACCCUCCUCAAUCGAGCUCAUUCUCUGCUUCCUCAUCAAAUCUCUCAGUUGUGCC
This 328-nucleotide long non-coding RNA is filed under the name Elaeis guineensis (African oil palm). RNAcentral describes it as "long non-coding RNA (EGUI_LNC006541)". Lineage: Eukaryota; Viridiplantae; Streptophyta; Magnoliopsida; Arecales; Arecaceae. The record is from RNAcentral.